GAUGAACGCUGGCGGCGUGCUUAACACAUGCAAGUCGAACGAAACACCUUAUUUUAUUUUCUUCGGAACUGAAGAUUUGGUGAUUGAGUGGCGGACGGGUGAGUAACGCGUGGGUAACCUGCCCUGUACAGGGGGAUAACAGUCAGAAAUGACUGCUAAUACCGCAUAAUACCACAGCACCGCAUGGUGCAGGGGUAAAAACUCCGGUGGUACAGGAUGGACCCGCGUCUGAUUAGCUGGUUGGUGAGGUAACGGCUCACCAAGGCGACGAGCAGUAGCCGGCGUGAGAGAGUGAACGGCCACAGUGGGACUGAGACACGGCCCAAACUCCUACGGGAGGCAGCAGUGGGGAAUAUUGCACAAUGGGGGAAACCCUGAUGCAGCGACGCCGCGUGAGUGAAGAAGUAUUUAGGUAUGUAAAGCUCUAUCAGCAGGGAAGAAAAUGACGGUACCUGAAUAAGAAGCCCCGGCUAACUACGUG
This 481-nucleotide ribosomal RNA is filed under the name uncultured bacterium. RNAcentral describes it as "partial 16S ribosomal RNA". It matches the Rfam family "Bacterial small subunit ribosomal RNA", at positions 28 to 507 of the family's 1533-position model. The record is from RNAcentral.